UGAUGCAAAAGGUCUCUGAUUGAAGCCUGGAAGCGGCUCAUGAAGUCCUCAGACUAAACAAGCGGCGAAGAAAACACCGGAGGGAGAAAAGUAAACAUGUUCAAACACUGCAUCAUCAUCCAGCUGCGUCUCAUCUAAGUAACAAUCGUGUUCUUCUGCAUGAGGAGGUAAUAACACGACACGAGGAGUUAAGCUGAGCUGCUUUGAGAAGCUGAAUUCAGAUGGUGCCAUAGAGUGAUUCCUGACAUCUAGCACCAUUUGAAAUCAGUGUUCUCCAGGCUGUGCGGACGUCCAGCCCAAACACAUAAUCCCUCCUCGGUGGAAGAGUGACAUUUUGAUUGAAGGGAAUGAAUUUUACUGUGAUGGAUAUAUGUGUUAUUUGUUUACUUGCUUUUUUUUUAAUUUGGUAAAUUACUGUAAUGUGAAUUUGUUUCUCAAAUUCAUCAAUAAAGCAGAUUGAUCAUUA
Long non-coding RNA from Neoarius graeffei (lesser salmon catfish), 466 nucleotides. RefSeq lists it as uncharacterized. NCBI's taxonomy places the organism in Eukaryota, Metazoa, Chordata, Actinopteri, Siluriformes, Ariidae. The record is from RefSeq and is a predicted model, not a curated record. The transcript is spliced from 2 exons.